RNAcentral lists this ribosomal RNA (194 nucleotides) under uncultured fungus. RNAcentral describes it as "partial 26S ribosomal RNA". It matches the Rfam family "Eukaryotic large subunit ribosomal RNA", at positions 38 to 281 of the family's 3401-position model. The record is from RNAcentral. Lineage: Eukaryota; Fungi.
GCAUAUCAAUAAGCGGAGGAAAAGAAACUAACUAGGAUUGGUCUAGUAACGGCGAGUAAAUUGCCAUGAGCUCAGUAUGUAAAUCGCCACUAGUGAUGAAUUGUGGUGUGUAGGUCAUUUUGUUCAGUUGAUAGACUAACUCCCAUGUGUCUGUUAGCAUGUGAACUGACCAACGAGUCGAGUUGUUUGGGAAU